CCUACGGGUGGCAGCAGUGAGGAAUAUUGGUCAAUGGCCGGAAGGCUGAACCAGCCAAGCAGCGUGCAGGACGAAGGUGCCAAGCGUUGUAAACUUCUUUUGUCAAGGGACAAAAUCAGGCUCGAGAGCCUGACCGCGGGUACUUGAAGAAAAAGCAUCGGCUAACUCCGUGCCAGCAGCCGCGGUAAUACGGAGGAUGCGAGCGUUAUCCGGAUUUAUUGGGUUUAAAGGGUGCGUAGGCGGCCUGUUAAGUCAGCGGUAAAAGCCCGGGGCUCAACCCCGGCGAGCCGUUGAAACUGGCUGUCUUGAGAUGUCGAGAGGUAGGCGGAAUGCGCAGUGUAGCGGUGAAAUGCUUAGAUAUUGCGCAGAACUCCGAUUGCGAAGGCAGCAUACCGUCGGCAAUCUGACGCUGAGGCACGAAAGCGCGGGUAUCGAACAGGAUUAGAUACCCCGGUAGUC
This 459-nucleotide ribosomal RNA is filed under the name uncultured bacterium. RNAcentral describes it as "partial 16S ribosomal RNA". It matches the Rfam family "Bacterial small subunit ribosomal RNA", at positions 338 to 795 of the family's 1533-position model. The record is from RNAcentral.